GGUGGAACAGGUCUGUUAGGAGCAGGCUUUUACCUACUGAAGGUGGAACAUGUCUGUUAGGAGAAUGAUUUUACCUACUGAAGGUGGAACAGGUCUGUAGGAGCAGGAUUUUACAUACUGAAGGUGGAACAGGUCUGUUAGGAGCAGGCUUUUACCUACUGAAGGUGGAACAGGUCUGUUAGGAGAUGGAUUUCAAUACUGAAGGUGGAGUGGAUGUGUCUUAAGUGAUGUACAUUUAAGUUGUUGAGUGAAUGCUGCAAAUUGCUUAGUGUUGGUGAGAUUUUGCUUAGAUCUAGACUAGAUAGCUCAAAUAACAAAUGUGUAACUAUUGCAUUACCACUGUUUACAUAACAUUGUACGAUUGGGGAAUUUUAUUGUAUAAAUUUAUGAUCAUCUUCAACAGAAUAUUAUAUUUGUGAUGCCUGCAAUUACCAUCACAGCCACCAUUGGUUAGAACCUGAACAUGGCUCCCCACUGGUCAGUGUUAUCAUCCAUUGGCUGUGUGAUCUAAAGUAAGCUUCAGAGCCGAAUUGUAAGGUCAGAACCUGAACAUGGCUCCCCACUGGUCAGUGUUAUCAUCCAUAGUCUGUGAUCUAGAGUAAGCUUCAGAGCCGAAUUGUGAGGUUAGAACCUGAACAUGACUCCCCACUGGUCAGUGUUAUCAUCCAUAGGCUGCGUGAUCUAAAGUAAGCUUCGGAGCCGAAUUGUGAGGUUAUAACCUGAACAUGGCUCCCACUGGUCAGUGUUAUCAUCCAUAGUCUGUGAAGUCAGUUUAAAUCAGAUGCAGUGUGACGUCGCUGCACAUGAAAUGUGUUGAGUAGCUUGAAUAGAAUUGUGUGACCGCUUUGCAUGUUGUUUGUUUAUUUAACUAUCGGUAUACAGAUAAGAAAUGGCUGAUUAUGGCAAAAUAAUUACCAUUCAAAUAAACCAUAUAUAUGUACAGUAAAAUUAAAGGUGAAAAAAUAUCAACAAUUCAAUUGUAAAUUAAUAUUAUAUAUCCCCUUUUAAUAUAUUGACUAAACCACUGAUUACAGUUGAUUAAUAAACCUCUAGCAUUUUGUAAUAUUUUGACUAUGUUACAGCGAUUUAUACUGUAAGUAUACUACAAACCAAACCAUCUGAGAUAAUCACAGCUUGUUUGACUUAUCCCCAUCUCCUAGUAGAUAGAUGUAUGUUUAGAUAUAUAGUGUUAUGUUAUCACUUAUAACAUGUACCUGGUAAUAUGAAAGGUAUAACCUCAUUAAAAUUUAAUAAAUAAAAACAUUGUUAAAUCCAUUAACAGUUAAGCAGAGUUUUAAUGAGAUGAAGAAGAGAUAUUGUUUUCUUUUCUUUUCUAGGCAUUGGGUGGAAAGCAUUUUCAUAUCUAAAUUAGUGCUAGGAAAUAUUUUAAAGACUGAUGUGUUCAUUUCUUAUUACAAAUUGCAUUUAGAUAGAUAUGCUAGCCUACCUUAGUCAGAUUGUUACAAAUUGCUUAUUGGAAACUUUUUACGAGAGGUAACUUUUAACACAAACCACAGGUAUAAGAUGUAGCGUUAAGCUUAUGUGCAGUAAUUAUGAUAGAUAUAUCUGUUUCUCACCUACUGUACAGGGAUGUUGGCCUCAGUGGUGGUGAUAGAAAGUUCUACUUUGGUACCGGACAGCUGGCAUAUGUAUUACAACUAGGACCUGACAUUAUACUUGAAUGAUUAAAACCAGGUGUCAACAUUUCAAAGCUAAUUUGUCAAAAACGAGGAUAUGACUCCUUUGUGAUGUAGACAAAGUUUAUGCCCAGAAUUGGACAAAAAGCCAUGUUCUGAAAUAUCAAAAACCUACCGCUAGGUGUACCUUGGUUAUUCCUGUGUUGUGCUUAUAUUUGUAGGAAUAUAUAGUUCAUGUUUUUAUGUCUGUUUCGGUUUACUGUUUAUGUUAUUGCGAUUUUAUUUUAUUUUGAUUAAUGAGAUUUUGUUUUCGCUCUGGUUACAUCUUGUUGCAUAAUGAUUUGGUAUUUUUAAUGAGGAUUAAAUGAUAAAGAUGAAUACAGUUUCGAAAAUAGUCACUUGAUGAUUAUGUUUCAAACAUGUAUUGGGUCCUCAAACUCUGAAAAUGAACUAAAAACUGUCUCUCUUUAUUGAAAUAUGGUGCUUGCUUUUAAAA
RNAcentral lists this long non-coding RNA (2133 nucleotides) under Mizuhopecten yessoensis (Yesso scallop). RNAcentral describes it as "uncharacterized LOC110463160". The record is from RNAcentral. Lineage: Eukaryota; Metazoa; Mollusca; Bivalvia; Pectinida; Pectinidae.